GGAGGGCUCGGAUAAUGGUAGUCCAGCGGUCUUGAAAACCGUCGACCUUGCGGUCAUGGGGGUUCGAAUCCCUCGCCCUCCGCCA
RNAcentral lists this transfer RNA (85 nucleotides) under Chitinispirillales bacterium. Its description in RNAcentral is "tRNA-Ser". It matches the Rfam family "tRNA". Rfam says of the family: Transfer RNA (tRNA) molecules are approximately 80 nucleotides in length. Their secondary structure includes four short double-helical elements and three loops (D, anti-codon, and T loops). Further hydrogen bonds mediate the characteristic L-shaped molecular structure. tRNAs have two regions of fundamental functional importance: the anti-codon, which is responsible for specific mRNA codon recognition, and the 3' end, to which the tRNAs corresponding amino acid is attached (by aminoacyl-tRNA synthetases). tRNAs cope with the degeneracy of the genetic code in two manners: having more than one tRNA (with a specific anti-codon) for a particular amino acid; and 'wobble' base-pairing, i.e. permitting non-standard base-pairing at the 3rd anti-codon position. Lineage: Bacteria; Pseudomonadati; Fibrobacterota; Chitinispirillia; Chitinispirillales. The record is from RNAcentral.